CUACAGGCUGUCCCUAAUUUUCCCUGAAUUUUUUUCGGGGAACUGAAAUGCACUACUGGUGCCUGCACGUGUCCCAAAAAAUCCCAUAUUAGACCCAGGGCCCCUUUCGGCCAAUAUCGCAAUUCCAGCACGGCGGCGGCGAUUCGCCUCGGGUUGGCCGUUUUCAGCCGAAUUCGGCCACACUUGCAUCGGUCCCUACGAUAAAAAAACCCUAGGGCCCUCGGGGGGUCAAAAAAUUACGAAAAACCGAAGCUUACCGGCAGCGGUGCUCUCGGGUGCGGCGACUCUCCGACGAGGUUCGUGUUUUGGUGAUUUGGCUCCGAUCAACCUGUAGAGAAAAGAAUGGUGAUCACGGUGAUAUAAAAAUUGUAUCAAACGGAGGCCGGGAAGGGCCUCAUCGGAGGCAAAAAUCGAAGAGGAGUGCGACGAUGCAUCUGGGUUUCGGCUGUGUUUUUCGGCCGUUUGGCCGGGAGUUUGGCUGCGAUUCGGCCACAGGGGAACUCAACAUUGAAAAACGAGCUGAGGGUAUGAAAUUUACCUUGAUCGGCGAUCGAAAAACUCCCCGGUGCGGCGGCGGGUGGCGGCGGCCGGCUCCUCCGGCGUCUGGUUCGUCUUCUCCGGCGAGGGCUGGCGGCUAGGGUUUUUGUGGUCAGGUGUGGGGGGUUUAUUUAUACCCUUUGUCUUUUAAUCACAGCCGUCCAUCUUAAUUUAAUCUGGACCGUUCGAUCGCCAUUUAAUUUGGAUUAAAUCUGGGCCGUUCGAUGGCGAUUUAAUUUGGAUUAGAUCUGGGUCAUCCGUGCACGUGCAUCUGGGCCGUUCGUGC
This 823-nucleotide long non-coding RNA is filed under the name Carica papaya (papaya). RNAcentral describes it as "long non-coding RNA (CPAP_LNC012434)". The record is from RNAcentral. Lineage: Eukaryota; Viridiplantae; Streptophyta; Magnoliopsida; Brassicales; Caricaceae.